GAUGAACGCUGGCGGCGUGCCUAAUACAUGCCAGUCGAGCGAACAGACGAGGAGCUUGCUCCUCUGACGUUAGCGGCGGACGGGUGAGUAACACGUGGAUAACCUACCUAUAAGACUGGGAUAACUUCGGGAAACCGGAGCUAAUACCGGAUAAUAUAUUGAACCGCAUGGUUCAAUAGUGAAAGACGGUUUUGCUGUCACUUAUAGAUGGAUCCGCGCCGCAUUAGCUAGUUGGUAAGGUAACGGCUUACCAAGGCAACGAUGCGUAGCCGACCUGAGAGGGUGAUCGGCCACACUGGAACUGAGACACGGUCCAGACUCCUACGGGAGGCAGCAGUAGGGAAUCUUCCGCAAUGGGCGAAAGCCUGACGGAGCAACGCCGCGUGAGUGAUGUAGGUCUUCGGAUCGUAAAACUCUGUUAUUAGGGAAGAACAAAUGUGUAAGUAACUAUGCACGUCUUGACGGUACCUAAUCAGAAAGCCACGGCUAACUACGUG
RNAcentral lists this ribosomal RNA (497 nucleotides) under uncultured bacterium. RNAcentral's name for it is "partial 16S ribosomal RNA". It matches the Rfam family "Bacterial small subunit ribosomal RNA", at positions 28 to 507 of the family's 1533-position model. The record is from RNAcentral.